AAGUCAUAACAAGGUCUCCGUAGGUGAACCUGCGGAGGGAUCAUUAAGGACUGCACGUCAAGUGCUUUUCUAAAUAUCAUUACACACACACCGUGAACUGUUUAUUGAAGGGGGGACUGCCGAAACGCGGGCUCUUCUGACCAUACCUUAUUACAAGAAGUCCUGAACGUGAAAUACUAUAAAAACAAUAUAACUUUCAACAACGGAUCUCUUGGCUCUC
This 220-nucleotide unclassified non-coding RNA is filed under the name air metagenome. RNAcentral's name for it is "partial contains small subunit ribosomal RNA, internal transcribed spacer 1, and 5.8S ribosomal RNA". The stretch from base 1 to 46 matches the Rfam family "Eukaryotic small subunit ribosomal RNA", at positions 1786 to 1831 of the family's 1831-position model. The record is from RNAcentral.